Molecule: long non-coding RNA, 802 nt
Filed under: Homo sapiens (human)
Lineage: Eukaryota; Metazoa; Chordata; Mammalia; Primates; Hominidae
Description: HSALNT0381402
Source: RNAcentral
CUGCCCUGUGAGGAUGCAGCAAGAAAACCCUCACCAGAUGCCAGUGCCUUGAUCUUGGACUUCCCAGCCCCCAGAGCUGACUAGAUCGCUAGCUGGCCCUUUGAUUUAACUCUUCAUCUACCAUAUUGUGAAGAAACCAUGGAUUUUAGCAAUGAAAUUUUAUUGGGAUGAAUGACCAAAUGUAGGGGCUUAUAGAAUCAUCAAGCCGGAAAGAACCACAAGAGGUCAACACAGUUCACCUCCUUGCUUCUGGGACGGACUCCAUCAAAAGCGCACAGACAAAUUGGUGUCUGCUUCUAUUCACAGAGGGCUCAAGAAAGUGAUGCCACAUCUACCUGGAGUUGUUGGUCAUGUAAACUCUUCCUAAGCAGAUAGUUCUGGGAAUGACAUAGUCUGAGGAAUCAUAUAUUCUCAUUUGAUAAUUUUCAUAUUAGCCUUGUAUGAGUGUCUGAUUAUCAAAUAAUUGAGAAAUAAAACAUAUUUGAAACUAAUAUUGUCCUGAGUGUAAUUUAAUCAUUCGUGAUUCAAAAGGGAAUUCUUGACCUCAUUAGGAAUAAUGCUUGAACUGGAAAAAUAAGGAGGGCUGGUUAAAUUGAAAUUCACAAUUGAUAGAAUGCUACCUAAUGGAAGUUCUUCCUUAUAGCUGGUUUAAUGUCUUCCUGCUGCAAUUUAAGCUGGUUUUCUCUUACUUUAUCCUCUGUGGAGUGGGAAUAAACUCUGAUUACCAUCCCCUCCAUAACAAUCCUUUAUUCUUUUGAAGAGUUAUUAACUUCCCCUUCAGACUUCUCUUUUUAAGGCUAAA